Long non-coding RNA from Amphimedon queenslandica, 532 nucleotides. RefSeq lists it as uncharacterized. The record is from RefSeq and is a predicted model, not a curated record. Lineage: Eukaryota; Metazoa; Porifera; Demospongiae; Haplosclerida; Niphatidae. The transcript is spliced from 3 exons.
UAACUCUAAUCAUAGAUAUACGACUGUUAGAGGGAUUGGAGACUGGUCACGUGAGCGCAUUACUACUACACUCACCAUCCGCGUUUGUGUUAAGUAUAUUCAUAGUCACGCCUUUUCUUUGACCUUGUGCUAUUUCAAUGGAGGAAGAGCAGAACCAACAGUACAUUUUUGUGGGACUAUUGUAUUAGUUUGGAAGCUUAAUACAGACAGGUCUGCAAAUGGAAGGAUAAAACUGAGGUUUUUGUUUAAAAGAAUCAUGAAUAUAGGAGAUAUGAUGCUUCAAAGGCACUUAUAGAACACAAAUUUUAAUUAUUCUGUCAAUAUCAUUAUCUAUUGUAGUAUUCAAUGCUUAUUUGUAGACCUUAUAGCAUUUGGAGUAGUUUCUUGAAAGGAUCAUGAUAGCUGCCAUUGUGAAGGGGUGUGACUUAAGGCAAACACGGAUGGUAGGCACUAAUUGUGCUAAUUGCCAAGAGUCUCCAAUCCCUCUAACAGUCGUAUAUCUAUGAUUAGAGGUUUCCCACAGGAUUUUGGC